Molecule: transfer RNA, 72 nt
Filed under: Methanobrevibacter ruminantium M1
Lineage: Archaea; Methanobacteriati; Methanobacteriota; Methanobacteria; Methanobacteriales; Methanobacteriaceae
Description: tRNA-Phe (GAA) (tRNA-Phe-GAA-2-1)
Rfam family: tRNA
About the family: Transfer RNA (tRNA) molecules are approximately 80 nucleotides in length. Their secondary structure includes four short double-helical elements and three loops (D, anti-codon, and T loops).
Source: Rfam by way of RNAcentral
GGGGCAUUAGCUAAGCGGGAAAGCGACAGUCUGAAGAUCUGUUCAUCGCUGGUUCAAAUCCAGCAUGUCCCA